Molecule: ribosomal RNA, 249 nt
Filed under: uncultured Solibacteraceae bacterium
Lineage: Bacteria; Pseudomonadati; Acidobacteriota; Terriglobia; Bryobacterales; Solibacteraceae
Description: partial 16S ribosomal RNA
Rfam family: Bacterial small subunit ribosomal RNA
Source: RNAcentral
UGGGGAAUCUUGCACAAUGGGGGAAACCCUGAUGCAGCGACGCCGCGUGAGCGAUGAAGCCUUUCGGGGUGUAAAGCUCUUCCGCCAGGGACGAUGAUGACGGUACCUGGAGAAGCAGCUGCGGCUAACUACGUGCCAGCAGCCGCGGUAAUACGUAGGCAGCAAGCGUUGUUCGGAAUUACUGGGCGUAACGGGUGCGUAGGCGGUGCUCUAAGUUUGGUGUGAAAUCUCCUGGCUUAACUGGGGGGG